Molecule: ribosomal RNA, 654 nt
Filed under: Streptococcus anginosus
Lineage: Bacteria; Bacillati; Bacillota; Bacilli; Lactobacillales; Streptococcaceae
Description: bacterial SSU rRNA
Rfam family: Bacterial small subunit ribosomal RNA
Source: RNAcentral
CGGUGAGUAACGCGUAGGUAACCUACCUAUUAGAGGGGGAUAACUAUUGGAAACGAUAGCUAAUACCGCAUAACAGUAUGUAACACAUGUUAGAUGCUUGAAAGAUGCAAUUGCAUCGCUAGUAGAUGGACCUGCGUUGUAUUAGCUGUAGGUAGGGUAAAGGCCUACCUAGGCAACGAUACAUAGCCGACCUGAGAGGGUGAUCGGCCACACUGGGACUGAGACACGGCCCAGCUCCUACGGGAGGCAGCAGUAGGGAAUCUUCGGCAAUGGGGGGAACCCUGACCGAGCAACGCCGCGUGAGUGAAGAAGGUUUUCGGAUCGUAAAGCUCUGUUGUUAAGGAAGAACGAGUGUGAGAAUGGAAAGUUCAUGCUGUGACGGUACUUAACCAGAAAGGGACGGCUAACUACGUGCCAGCAGCCGCGGUAAUACGUAGGUCCCGAGCGUUGUCCGGAUUAUUGGGCGUAAAGCGAGCGCAGGCGUUAGAAAAGUCUGAAGUGAAAGGCAGUGGCUCAACCAUUGUAGGCUUUGGAAACUGUUUAACUUGAGUGCAGAAGGGGAGAGUGGAAUUCCAUGUGUAGCGGUGAAAUGCGUAGAUAUAUGGAGGAACACCGGUGGCGAAAGCGGCUCUCUGGUCUGUAACUGACGCUGGG